Molecule: ribosomal RNA, 274 nt
Filed under: uncultured bacterium
Lineage: Bacteria
Description: partial 16S ribosomal RNA
Rfam family: Archaeal small subunit ribosomal RNA
Source: RNAcentral
AUACCAGCACCCCGAGUGGUCGGGACGAUUAUUGGGCCUAAAGCAUCCGUAGCCGGUGUAGCAAGUCCUCCGUUAAAUCCACUUGCUCAACAAGUGGGCUGCGGAGGAUACUGCUACACUAGGGGGCGAGAGAGGCGAGGGGUAUUCCACGGGUAGGGGUAAAAUCCUCUGAUCCGUGGAGGACCACCAGUGGCGACGGCGCCUCGCCAGAACGCGCCCGACGGUGAGGGAUGAAAGCUGGGGGAGCAAACCGUAUUAGAUACCCUAGUAGUCC